GACGUAGGGCGCGAGCGUUGUCCGGAUUUAUUGGGCGUAAAGAGCUCGUAGGCGGCUUGUUACGUCGACUGUGAAAACCCGCGGCUCAACCGUGUGGUCUGCAGUCGAUACGGGCAGGCUAGAGUUCGGUAGGGGAGACUGGAAUUCCUGGUGUAGCGGUGAAAUGUGCAGAUAUCAGGAGGAACACCGGUGGCGAAGGCGGGUCUCUGGGCCGAUACUGACGCUGAGGAGCGAAAGCGUGGGGAGCGAACAGG
This 254-nucleotide ribosomal RNA is filed under the name uncultured bacterium. RNAcentral's name for it is "partial 16S ribosomal RNA". It matches the Rfam family "Bacterial small subunit ribosomal RNA", at positions 524 to 776 of the family's 1533-position model. The record is from RNAcentral.